This 397-nucleotide ribosomal RNA is filed under the name uncultured bacterium. Its description in RNAcentral is "partial 16S ribosomal RNA". It matches the Rfam family "Bacterial small subunit ribosomal RNA", at positions 523 to 918 of the family's 1533-position model. The record is from RNAcentral.
AUACGUAGGUGACAAGCGUUAUCCGGAUUUACUGGGCGUAAAGGGCGUGUAGGCGGUCUUGCAAGUCAGAAGUGAAAUUCCUGAGCUCAACUCGGGCGCUGCUUCUGAAACUGCAGGACUUGAGUGCUGGAGGGGAUAGCGGAAUUCCUAGUGGAGCGGUAAAAUGCGCAGAUAUUAGGAAGAACACCGGUGGCGAAGGCGGCUAUCUGGACAGUAACUGUCGCUGAGGCGCGAAAGCGUGGGGAGCAAACAGGAUUAGAUACCCUGGUAUUCCACGCCGUAAACGAUGAAUACUAGGUGUAGGGGGUAUCGACUCCCUCUGUGCCGCAGUUAACACAAUAAGUAUUCCGCCUGGGGAGUACGGCCGCAAGGUUGAAACUCAAAUGAAUUGACGGGG